This 201-nucleotide ribosomal RNA is filed under the name uncultured bacterium. Its description in RNAcentral is "partial 16S ribosomal RNA". It matches the Rfam family "Bacterial small subunit ribosomal RNA", at positions 337 to 555 of the family's 1533-position model. The record is from RNAcentral.
UCCUACGGGAGGCAGCAGUGGGGAAUAUUGCACAAUGGGCGAAAGCCUGAUGCAGCAACGCCGCGUGAAGGAAGAAGGUCUUCGGAUCGUAAACUUCUGUCCUUAGGGAAGAUAAUGACGGUACCUUUGGAGGAAGCCCCGGCUAACUACGUGCCAGCAGCCGCGGUAAUACGUAGGGGGCAAGCGUUAUCCGGAAUUAUU